Molecule: ribosomal RNA, 309 nt
Filed under: Hordeum murinum
Lineage: Eukaryota; Viridiplantae; Streptophyta; Magnoliopsida; Poales; Poaceae
Source: RNAcentral
UUUUUAAUAUAUUUUUGUUACGGGCGGGGAACAUGGCGCACGUGCGCGUUAACAUUACACACAGUUUCAAAAGAAUGACAUUUCCAGUAAUUUUUAGCUUGCGGCUCAUUAUUCACGCGUCAACGGGCGGAUAAGGUGUUGCCAAAGGUACCGCGUUAUUGAAGGGGUGGAAACAGUGGUAAAACAGGUCGGAUGCGAUCAUACCAGCACUAAAGCACCGGAUCUCAUCAGAACUCUGAAUUUAAGCGUGAUUGGGCGAGAGCAGUACUAGGAUGGUGACCUCGUGGGAAGUCCUUGUGUUGCAUUCCC